Molecule: long non-coding RNA, 663 nt
Organism: Hemicordylus capensis (graceful crag lizard)
Lineage: Eukaryota; Metazoa; Chordata; Lepidosauria; Squamata; Cordylidae
Exons: 2
Source: RefSeq, a predicted model, not a curated record
CAGGCAACAGAGGAAAAAGAAAAUGGCAGUGGGCAGUGGCGGCAGGUCACAAAACGGCCUGAGGAGGCGGCCUGGCCUGGCCACCAGGAGGAGGAGGUGGGAAGCGGCAACAGGACGGCCUGGCCCUGGCCUGCCCAGAUUGUUUCCAACAGUAUCUCCAGAUUAUAAAUGUUCCUCAACAGCUGGCUUUGAUCUCAUCUGCUUCAGCUUGCAACAUAUUAACAUCAAACUGCAGUGAUGAAAAACCCAUUGCUUCAGCUAUUUAAAACUCUAUUGGACAACGCUAGAUUGGUUAGAUACCCAGGAGGAAAUAUAACUCUGAACUGACCAAGAGGAAUGGUUGAAAUCAACUAGCAGCACCAUGACCCACAAGCCAAGACAGAAAAGGCAACCUUCAAGAACAAAUAAGCCAGGGAACAAGAGACCCUUCCAUACUUCAAAGAAUCUUAUAAAUUACAGGCACAAAGACUUGACACUUUCAAGGCCAACACAUUCUGGAGAGCUUUAUGUCUCAGGUCCUCUCUCAUCUCAUUUCAACACAUUAUCAGAGAGUGUCAGCAGAUACCAGAUAGCUACACAGUUGAGGGGGAGGUGAAACCAUCUUUUCUCAUAAAUAAAGAUUCUUGGUUCUCUCACUCUACAUGCCAAGGAUGGAGAAAGCUG